GAUGAACGCUGGCGGCGUGCCUAAUACAUGCAAGUCGAGCGAACGGACGAGAAGCUUGCUUCUCUGAUGUUAGCGGCGGACGGGUGAGUAACACGUGGAUAACCUACCUAUAAGACUGGGAUAACUUCGGGAAACCGGAGCUAAUACCGGAUGAUAUUUUGAACCGCAUGGUUCAAAAGUGAAAGACGGUCUUGCUGUCACUUAUAGAUGGACCCGCGCUGCAUUAGCUAGUUGGUAAGGUAACGGCUUACCAGGGCAUCGAUGCAUAGCCGACCUGAGAGAGUGAUCGGGCGCCAUGGAGGGUGAGCGGAAACAUGACGACGGCGAAACGCAGCAGUAAGGAAUGUGACGCAAUAGGCGAGAAUCUGACAAAACGGACGGGCGGGAGAUGUAGAAGUCUUCAGUUCGAAAAACUGUCUUAUGAGUGGAAAACCGAUGUGGCAGGAACUGUACAGGGCGUGACGGUAAGGGGUCAGAAAGCAACGGCUAACUACGUG
Molecule: ribosomal RNA, 497 nt
Filed under: uncultured bacterium
Lineage: Bacteria
Description: partial 16S ribosomal RNA
Rfam family: Bacterial small subunit ribosomal RNA
Source: RNAcentral